UACGGGGGGAGCAAGCGUUGUUCGGAUUUACUGGGCGUAAAGGGCGCGUAGGCGGUCGUGACAAGUCACUUGUGAAAUCUCCGGGCUUAACUCGGAAAGGUCAACUGAUACUGUGCGACUAGAGUGCGGAAGGGGCAACUGGAAUUCUCGGUGUAGCGGUGAAAUGCGUAGAUAUCGAGAGGAACACCUGCGGCGAAGGCGGGUUGCUGGGCCGACACUGACGCUGAUGCGCGAAAGCCAGGGGAGCGAACGGG
This 254-nucleotide ribosomal RNA is filed under the name uncultured bacterium. Its description in RNAcentral is "partial 16S ribosomal RNA". It matches the Rfam family "Bacterial small subunit ribosomal RNA", at positions 524 to 776 of the family's 1533-position model. The record is from RNAcentral.